RNAcentral lists this ribosomal RNA (460 nucleotides) under uncultured bacterium. Its description in RNAcentral is "partial 16S ribosomal RNA". It matches the Rfam family "Bacterial small subunit ribosomal RNA", at positions 338 to 795 of the family's 1533-position model. The record is from RNAcentral.
CCUACGGGUGGCAGCAGUGAGGAAUAUUGGUCAAUGGACGAAAGUCUGAACCAGCCAAGUAGCGUGAAGGAUGACUGCCCUAUGGGUUGUAAACUUCUUUUAUAAAGGAAUAAAACGCGGCACGUGUGCCUUUUUGUAUGUACCUUAUGAAUAAGGAUCGGCUAACUCCGUGCCAGCAGCCGCGGUAAUACGGAGGAUCCGAGCGUUAUCCGGAUUUAUUGGGUUUAAAGGGUGCGUAGGCGGGUUGUUAAGUCAGUUGUGAAAGUUUGUGGCUCAACCAUAAAAUUGCCAUUGAUACUGGCAGGCUUGAGUACAGUUGAGGUAGGCGGAAUGCGUGGUGUAGCGGUGAAAUGCUUAGAUAUCACGAAGAACCCCGAUUGCGAAGGCAGCUUGCCAAGCUAUGACUGACGCUGAUGCACGAAAGUGUGGGGAUCAAACAGGAUUAGAUACCCUGGUAGUC